RNAcentral lists this ribosomal RNA (494 nucleotides) under uncultured bacterium. Its description in RNAcentral is "partial 16S ribosomal RNA". It matches the Rfam family "Bacterial small subunit ribosomal RNA", at positions 28 to 507 of the family's 1533-position model. The record is from RNAcentral.
GACGAACGCUGGCGGCGUGCUUAACACAUGCAAGUCGAACGGAAAGGCCUGCUUUCCCUUGUGGAUUGCGGGUACUCGAGUGGCGAACGGGUUAGUAACACGUGAGUGAUCUGCCCCCAACUUGGGUAUAAGCCUGGGAAACUGGGUCUAAUUCCCGAUAGGACUGCAGGGUGGUGCCUGUGGUGGAAAACGAUUUUCUAGUGGUUGGGGAUGAGCUCGCGGCCUAUCAGCUUGUUGGUGGGGUAAUGGCCUACCAAGGCGGCGACGGGUAGCCGGCCUGAGAGGGUGGACGGCCACAGUGGGACUGAGAUACGGCCCAGACUCCUACGGGAGGCAGCAGUGGGGAAUAUUGCACAAUGGGCGGAAGCCUGAUGCAGCGACGCCGCGUGGGGGAUGACGGCCUUCGGGUUGUAAACUCCUUUCGACCGCGAGGAAGCCACCUGGUUGGAAGGGUGGUGACGGUAGUGGUAGAAGAAGCACCGGCUAACUACGUG